AUGCAAGUCGAGCGAGAAGACGUAGCAAUACGUUUGUAAAGCGGCGAACGGGUGAGGAAUACAUGGGUAACCUACCCUCGAGUGGGGAAUAACUAGCCGAAAGGUUAGCUAAUACCGCAUACGACUCUCGAUCUUCGGGUCGGGAGGGAAAGCGAUACCGUGGGUAUCGCGCUCUUGGAUGGGCUCAUGUCCUAUCAGCUUGUUGGUGAGGUAACGGCUCACCAAGGCUUCGACGGGUAGCUGGUCUGAGAGGACGAUCAGCCACACUGGCACUGCGACACGGGCCAGACUCCUACGGGAGGCAGCAGUAAGGAAUAUUGCGCAAUGGGCGACAGCCUGACGCAGCGACGCCGCGUGGGGGAUGAAGGUCUUCGGAUUGUAAACCCCUUUCGGCAGGGAAGAUGGAACGGGCAACCGUUCGGACGGUACCUGCAGAAGCAGCCACGGCUAACUUCGUGCCAGCAGCCGCGGUAAUACGAAGGUGGCAAGCGUUGUUCGGAUUUACUGGGCGUACAGGGAGCGUAGGCGGUUGGGUAAGCCCUCCGUGAAAUCUCCGGGCCUAACCCGGAAAGUGCGGAGGGGACUGCUCGGCUAGAGGA
This 599-nucleotide ribosomal RNA is filed under the name uncultured Nitrospirota bacterium. RNAcentral describes it as "bacterial SSU rRNA". It matches the Rfam family "Bacterial small subunit ribosomal RNA", at positions 55 to 648 of the family's 1533-position model. The record is from RNAcentral. Lineage: Bacteria; Pseudomonadati; Nitrospirota.